GAUGAACGCUGGCGGCGUGCCUAAUACAUGCAAGUCGAGCGAACAGACGAGGAGCUUGCUCCUCUGACGUUAGCGGCGGACGGGUGAGUAACACGUGGAUAACCUACCUAUAAGACUGGGAUAACUUCGGGAAACCGGAGCUAAUACCGGAUAAUAUAUUGAACCGCAUGGUUCAAUAGUGAAAGACGGUUUUGCUGUCACUUAUAGAUGGAUCCGCGCCGCAUUAGCUAGUUGGUAAGGUAACGGCUUACCAAGGCAACGAUGCGUAGCCGACCUGAGGGGGUGAUCGGCCACACUGGAACUGAGACACGGUCCAGACUCCUACGGGAGGCAGCAGUAGGGAAUCUUCCGCAAUGGGCGAAAGCCUGACGGAGCAACGCCGCGUGAGUGAUGAAGGUCUUCGGAUCGUAAAACUCUGUUAUUAGGGAAGAACAAAUGUGUAAGUAACUGUGCACGUCUUGACGGUACCUAAUCAGAAAGCCACGGCUAACUACGUG
This 497-nucleotide ribosomal RNA is filed under the name uncultured bacterium. RNAcentral's name for it is "partial 16S ribosomal RNA". It matches the Rfam family "Bacterial small subunit ribosomal RNA", at positions 28 to 507 of the family's 1533-position model. The record is from RNAcentral.